GCCCUCUUAGCUCAUCCGGUAGAGCAACGGUAUCGUAAAUCGUAGGUGGUCGGUUCAAGUCCGACAGAGGGCU
Molecule: transfer RNA, 73 nt
Filed under: Patescibacteria group bacterium
Lineage: Bacteria
Description: tRNA-Thr
Rfam family: tRNA
About the family: Transfer RNA (tRNA) molecules are approximately 80 nucleotides in length.
Source: RNAcentral